Non-coding RNA from Triticum urartu, 5417 nucleotides. Lineage: Eukaryota; Viridiplantae; Streptophyta; Magnoliopsida; Poales; Poaceae. The record is from RefSeq and is a predicted model, not a curated record.
CGAGCUACACCGUAUAAACUCCCCGAGCCAUCCUGAACCUAACCCACCUCCUUCCGCCGGAGGCAGCUGUCGUGGGCGAGCGAGCGACGGCGUCAGCCGGAGCGAGGGAGCCCGCGGCGCCGUGACUGGCCGCCGACGGAGCCCAUCGAACUGAACCUCCCCGCGGCCCACCACUUCUUCCACCUUCCUUCUUCUGCAGCGAGUGGAUCGGCCGCACCGACCACCGGCCUCACCAUCGCGCCGCCGCCCAGCGUGCCGCCGCCCCAGCCACCGGCCCCCCACCGCGCCACCGCCUCCCUCCCCACGCGCCGCCGCUUCGCUCCCCGCGCGCAGCGCCGCCCGGCCUCAUCCUCCCUGCCCCCGCCUCCUCCCCUUCGCCAGCGUGCCUCCACCUCCCGGCCGCUGGCAUGGCUCCACCUCCUCGUCCCGGCUGGCCAGGUGAUGUGCGCGUAUCAGUUCGCGCGAGGCCCGGCCGCCAGGCACCCUUUCGCCAUCUCGCGCGACGCCAUGGGUAAAGCCAGAGAUGGAGCUAUUCCAGCACCGGCACCUGUGACGUCAGUCCACCGACGUGCUUGGCGCCGUCCACAACUCCAUCACGCUCGAGCUUAUGCUCCAGAUCAUCUUCCCCAAUGUUCCGGCCACGGUUCCCCAUUGCCAACACGAGAUCCCAACCACUUCUUCUGUAAAAACUGUAGUUAUCUGUCGGAUUAGCUCCUUCACCGGUUUUUGAAGAUGGGAAGUUCAGAGUUUGAGCAAGCGAAGGCACACUUGCACGUCGACUGUGCUCAGCCACCAGCAAUAACUUGGCAGAGGGAAUUCGAUGAUGAAGGCAAGAAGGUUGCUAUGCUUAGCAUGACCACUGAUAUCUUCACAGUUAUACCAUUGAUUUUUAAAAUGCUUCGAUUACACGUCGAAGGAAUCGCGAAAAACCAAGUUGCCGUCUAUGAUCCGCUCAGGAAAUGGAUGAACAACUGCUACCGCGGGGUACCCCUUGGCGGACUAGGCUGACUGAACUUCAGAUGACGGUUUUAUUCAAAGUGCAUUCUCUUCUCCUUCUUUUCAGUUCAAGAAGCAUAGGGAGAAGCUACCGAGGGUACUUUCAGCAGUUUCAAAUAUUCCCCAGGUUCUAUGAAGAGAAGCAUGUCCUUGCCAACCAGUUCUCAGCAUUCGUUUCGCAUCCUGGCGGGAAGAGCUACUCGACGGUCUUGAAACUGGUAUGCUGCUAUUUUUGUCAGGCUCGCCUUUUCGAUGCGCAAAAUGAUGAGGGAUAAAGCUCUAGUCAGGAGACUUUUUUGCAUGCGAGGCAAUGGGUUCUGCAACAACAAGUUUUGAUUAUAUUGAUACCUAAUAAUAGCAUGUGCUCAUUUUUGAAUUGAAAUAAAAAGAGUCUCUCAAAUAAUAAAUGGGCUCUCUAAUAAUAAGUUCUAAGGAAAUAAAUAUAGAAGUUCAUAUUUCAAAACAAAUGAAGUAUUUUGGAAGUAAAAUAAACUAUUUCAAAGUACACAAAUUAUAUUUAGGUAUCUUUGUGUACUUCAACGUUACUGUACAUGAACUUGUUCUUUUUAUGUGAACUUGUACAUUUGCCCAUCCGUCAAAUAGUUUGAGUUGCACUUUUUUUGCCAUAUUUGAUCUAUCAUAUUUCUCUAGUUCCAUCUUGUUCGUGAGUUCUUUUGACCGAGAGCUAGUAAGAUCAAACAUGAAUUUACAUCAGUUCAAAAAACAGACUGUUUAGAUUAAGACCAGAAACAAGAAAAGAUGUACAAAAAGAAAAUUAAAAACUUUUUCAUUUGGACCUAUAUAAGAAAACAAUUUGCCGAUCACUACGAAUUUAAAUAAAAACUUGGAAAGUUUGAAAAAAAUCACAUAGAAAGUUCGAACUCCAAAACCUGGCAAGUUCAUGGUAAAAACAAAAAAAGGAAGAAAAGGUACAAUUUAUUUUCAGUGUACCUAUAAUGUCCAAUUUUUCUUUCAGCUCAAUUCCUAGAUUUCAUUCAGUUCAAUUCUUAUGUAGGUACUUGGUGGUGGCAUUGCUUCACUUCCCUUGGUAUGCUCUCUUCGCCCAAGUUCCGAGAAUCAAGAAAACAAAUACUAGUGCUUGCAUGAAUAUGAGCAAAAAAACCACAAAGGCCUUUGCGUAGAAACAUCACCUCCACACCACCUCCAUUCAUGCGCAGUACAUGCUUCUCCUGCCGCCCCGCCACCUGGAUCCAACGAGGCUGCGUCACACUGGCCCCGGAUCCGCCCGCUUCCAAUGAGGCUGCAUCACCCGCCGGCGCACCUCUGCCUCGCCGUGGGCAGUGGAUGCUCCUCCACAGCUCAACCUCCUGGUAGCGGGUAGUUCGAUGCUCCCUGUCGCGCUACGAGCAGCGCUCCCUCGAGCUCCACAAGAAAUUCUUUCCGGCUGCGUCUGCACCUCUGAAAAGGUACUAAUUCAAACACCGAAGCUGGUUCUUCAAACGAUUAAACAAAAUUAUUACUUCAACUACUGUUAUUAAGUUCACACACUCAAAGGAGGGAUUAUUGUUUCUUAUUGGAGAAGGCCUGGUGUUUAGUUGGUGUCUGUGUGGUACCUACACCAGCAUUUUCCAUCAAGACCUCUAGAAAGAGAGAUCAUCUCAAGGUGAAAAUACGAAAUCCUUUUACUGCUCUCUUUAUUGUCUCACUCGAUUCAUAUUAUUAUAUGUACACAAAGCCAUGUCAUCCUGAAUUUGUUACACCACCGGUGCGGGAGCAAAAAACAGAUGCACAAGUUCAUCUUUUGUGACACUCAGUUCAAAUUCUAAUUUUAGUUCAGUGCAAUUCUUAUUUUCUGUUUAGUUCAUUUUCUUAUUUUAGUAUGGUGCCUUAUUGAGUUUCUACUCUUCUGAAUUUUGGUUACCACACCCCUGUCUGGUGGUUCAGAUAUUCAUUUUUGAGAAGUACUGAGAAUAAAAAUUAAAAGCUCGUCCAUCAAAAGGUUCACAUAGCAUUAUACUGUUUCACAUGGUAUUGUCCAGUAAGUACAUAAGUCAUGCUCUUAUUUGCAGAUCAUGCAAGUUCAACUAUAUAACCGCAUGCAUUUCUCCCUUAGUCCGACUAUUGCUGCUACUUAAAAUCACAAAAUUUGAUUCAGCCAGUAAGUUGGUGCUAGUGGAUCAAGUCCAGAUCAACUAUUUUUAUGUUGGUUGUUACAAUAUUGUUUGAGUGAAGAACUGCAUGGAAGUAUAGCAUAAUAUAGGAGCUUUGAUUUACAAAAAAAAUAAGGCACCACCACCAGCCCGUCCACCACGGUUGCUGGCAGCCGUCCAAGUUGAGCGCUGAUGGUAGUCCUGUGCGUGCAUCAACGGCACUCUCUCACUGUCGCCGCCUAGCCCACGCCCGCAGCCAUCCACCUCACAGCCGCGAGGCACCUCCCGGACAUCACCGCCAAGAGCCUCUCUCUGCCACCACGCCUGGUAGUUGAACUUACGCGGGAUGACCUGUGACCAACUGCCCCGCCUCUACAAGCUUCUCGGGGAUGACUUGGUAGUCGCUGGGAUUCCCUGCAGUCGCCAAAGCGCGGCGUGCUCGUGAUCUCCGCAUCCAUCAGCUCCACUUCACCAGAGCAAUCAGUCCAGAGGAGGAGGUGUAGCCAGUCCACGCGAUCUCCAACGUCUUAUUCCACCUACAAAAAAAUUCUUUUUGAGUUCUAUUCUUCGUCACAGGUUCACCGCUAUUACCUCAGUUCAAAAGUGCGAAAGAGUUUAGUUCAGACUAUACUAAAUGUCCAUAUUGUAGAUAAUAUUUGCAUUGUCUUAAAUUUCUGGAAAUAAGCUUCAGUACAAGAAAAAUGGGUCAGUCAGUUCAUCCAUAUCCACACCCCGUCGACGUGCGGCGGCAGGAAACAUUUCCAGGUUGUUUUCUUUCUCUCUUUGCUUAGAACAAAAGUGCGCAAAUGCCUAGCAGAAAUAGAACUUGUUCGUAUAAAUGGGUAGGUUCAUGAAAAUUUGUAUUAGUAGUUCGGUGAAAGGAUUCACAUCAGUUCAAAACAUUUUUGAAUGUUCAGUAAAUGUUCAAAUAGACCAGAGGCUUUCACCUCAUUCGAAAAGCCUAAAGAAACAGUACAAUGAUAGAAAAAAAAUUAGUUCAAAAAAACAUGCUGGAGAUUUGUCGGAAUCACAGAAAAACAUCAGUUCAAUUUUUCUGUACCAUCGCUUUUAUUGCUAAAUGUUUUAGUCACUUGUUUUCUUGAUGACAUCAGGUAUUGCUUAAAUACUUCGAUCUUGUGCCGCUGGUACUAGUGUGGAUGGGUAGCAAGUUCAACUACCAAUGCACACCAAGUUCAGGCAUGUUGCAUGUUUCCCACACGUUCCUAGAAGUUGUUCUAGGAUUGGAAAGCUAGCAGCAGCACUCUUGUUUUCACUAUUUAAGUUCACCUCAAUUUCUAUUUAAGUUCUGUUCAUAGGAGUGCUUGUAAUCAAUUAGUUUGGUUUUACUUACGUUCCAUGAAUUUCUAGUAGCCUGAUAGAUUUGGUAGUGACAUGAUCUCCCUCUCCACCACUCAAGGAUAUACGAUGUCCUAGUCCAGCCCCAUGGCAUACAUUAAGUUAGUUGUUAUAGCAAAAAACAGUACAAAACUCUUUUUAUUUUUAUUUUUGAACUUAUGACGUUACUCUACAUUAACUUGGUUGUUAUUUUCGCAUGAAAUUGUACAUUGCCUUGUUAGGUUGUGCGUCUACUACUCAAAAGUCUGCAAUAGUUGAACGAAAAUUUAAUUUUUGUUAGUUUGUUGUCAUGGACAGUACAGGUGCACAUUGUUGUGUAGUACAUGUGUCCAUUGAUGUGUUUGAAUCCCUUCCGUCCACUUUGAUUCCUACAGGUGGUUCAAAUGUGUCGAGUGGCAGCAUCGCUUGAUCCCUAGUGGUUGCCCGCGCAAGGAGGAUACAAGGACGCUACAGUGGUGGAGGAGUUUGUCCUGUAGCUCUGGUCUUACCUAGUAUGGAUAACAUUUUUAUGGAAAACUUGCUAUUUCCCUGGUGCGCUAACAUGAUGUGUUGGAAUAUCAGCCAGCGGCCUGCUCUGGCCAUGCCGCACCACCACUGGCACGUCCACCAUGGUUGCUGGCAGCCGUCCAAGUUGAGCGCUGAUGGGAGUCCUUAGCAUCCUUCAACGACACUCUCAUAUCAAUCUCUCUCUUUCUUUGCUCCUGCUAUUAAAAUGUGUAGAUGUGCUGCUUUGCUAAUUGAGUAGUUGGGAAGAUGUGAAAAGAACAUGCUCUCUAGGUGUGUGAUUAUUCCUGUGAGAACAAAUGUAUUUAAAUGUUUAUUUUGUGCUCCAGCUUAUGCUUUUGGGCAGUACAAAUACAUCUUCAAAAAUAAGUAAAGAUGUGGUCUUAUAGAACUCUAAUUGUUGUUGGAUGCUAUUCCAAAUGCCAAUGAUCAUGCAAAACGGUUAUUGCU